This 75-nucleotide transfer RNA is filed under the name Wenzhouxiangellaceae bacterium. Its description in RNAcentral is "tRNA-Gly". It matches the Rfam family "tRNA". From Rfam's summary of the family: Transfer RNA (tRNA) molecules are approximately 80 nucleotides in length. Their secondary structure includes four short double-helical elements and three loops (D, anti-codon, and T loops). Lineage: Bacteria; Pseudomonadati; Pseudomonadota; Gammaproteobacteria; Chromatiales; Wenzhouxiangellaceae. The record is from RNAcentral.
GCGGGCGUCGUAUAACGGUGAUUACCCCAGCUUCCCAAGCUGGAGAUGACGGUUCGAUUCCGUUCGCCCGCUCCA